RNAcentral lists this ribosomal RNA (394 nucleotides) under uncultured bacterium. Its description in RNAcentral is "bacterial SSU rRNA". It matches the Rfam family "Bacterial small subunit ribosomal RNA", at positions 954 to 1338 of the family's 1533-position model. The record is from RNAcentral.
AUGGGAACGCGAAGAACCUUACCUAGACUUGACAUCUUCUGCAUUAAUCGUAAUGGAUGAAAUCCCUUCGGGGACAGAAUGACAGGUGGUGCAUGGUUGUCGUCAGCUCGUGUCGUGAGAUGUUGGGUUAAGUCCCGCAACGAGCGCAACCCCUAUUAUUAGUUGCUAACAUUAAGUUGAGCACUCUAGUGAGACUGCCCGGGUUAACCGGGUAGGAAGGUGGGGAGUGACGUCAAAUACAUCAUGCCCCUUACUGUCUAGGGCUACACACGUGCUACAAUGGUGGGAACAAAAGAGAUGCAAUAACCGCAAGGUGGAGCUAAAACUACAAAACCCCAACUCCACGUUCGGAUUGUAGGCUGAAACUACGCCUACAUGAAGCUGGAGUUGCUAG